This 282-nucleotide long non-coding RNA is filed under the name Lathyrus oleraceus (garden pea). Its description in RNAcentral is "Pisum sativum (pea) long non-coding RNA (PSAT_LNC017797)". Lineage: Eukaryota; Viridiplantae; Streptophyta; Magnoliopsida; Fabales; Fabaceae. The record is from RNAcentral.
AAUAACCACCUUUUUUAACUGAUGUGUCAAUUGAGUUGGCGCAUGCUCCCAAUGGCAUUGCACUUAGGCGCCAUACUAGCUGGCGCAUGCAUGUAUGUUUUAGUGUGUGCGCCCAUGCAUCUGAUGCAUGCAUGUGUCUGCUUGUGUCAUGCGUGUGUGGCGCCUAGGACAUUGACACAUGCAUUCAUGGUUUCAUCUAUAAAUAACAUGCGCAUCUCCCAUAUUUUUGCAACCAACUUCUUACCCUUCAACCCCAUUUUCUUUCAUUAUACUUCAAUCCCC